ACAGGCGGCUGUGUACUGCCCCUCUGAGGAUGUAACAAUAAUACAUUACUUCAGGGAGGAAUUCAAAACCCCCCUGCUUUACGUUCAUCCAGGUCCACAAUCACAUAUGGGAUGCAGGCCAGCUCAACACAGCUUGGUAACUGCCACCUCCUCAGUGGCUACUCAGUGACUAAUGGACUGGUUGCUAAAAUUGAAGUACUCUGAAACCUCCUGCGAAUGAAAGAUGAUGAUUCACAUCCGCUUGUGAAGAGAUGAGUGCAGGAUGUGUGCUGGUCUGUAUGGAGAUGUAAAGAUCCACACUGUGCUGCGAGCUGACCUUCCCUCAGGAGUUUCCUGGCACACUCUAGCUCUUGGCAGACGCAGGCCGUAUAGAGCGCUGUGCCCAGGUGAGGAAUGUCCAUGUCCACAUCUGCCCCCCAAGUCACCAGAGCCUCGACACAACCGUAAUGACCUGGAAGUAAUGGACCAUGAAGGCAGUAAUCACUUCGUGGAUUGGUGAUGGCUGGAAUACAAGGCUCUGGGGUUUUGCUCCAUUUUCCAAAAGAACCUCAGUGCAUGCCACACUGCCCACUGUACAGGCGUUGAACAGAGGGGUGACUCCAUCAAUUGUAGAAGCAUUGACCUGUAAACACAUUUCCUUAAAUUGUUAUUUUUGGGCCUUGUUUAACCAUGCAAGUUGACUAAUAGCAACAGCCUGAGGUGACAGUUGAAGGGGAACAACAACUUAAUAGCUCUACAGUGACUGUAAAAAAAAGAGCAGUGCAUUGCUCAUUUGUUACUUCUGCCCAGAGUUCCCCAGCCAUUGAAAUGACAUUUGACCUGUGCAGCAUAGCAACAUUAAAGGCCAAUAUGUGACUUACAUUUGCUCCUGCAUCAAUGAGAGCUCUGGCGCAAGCGACAUGGUCUCCAGCACAGGCCUCAUGAAGGGGUGUCACAUGGUCUAUAGUCAGAACAUUCACACUGUGACCCUGGAACCCAAAUCAAACAGCCACACAUAUGUAUCUGUUAUAUGGUGCAGGAAGCAAUACAUGACCUCUGUCAACCUCUAUUGGUGAACGCGUGGAAUUGCAAGAACAUCAACAAAGCUUAUCUUUUUAAAAACAAACCCAUCCUUCUCGGUUAUGAUUGUCCGUAACUGACAAACUAUACUAUAUAGUCACAGUGGAACAAUAGAGAUCAAGGAGCUUGUUAUUUAAAGAUCUGAAGAAGAGCUUUUAUAUCACUAUGUCAAAUACUGUCAUGAUGCCACUGCUUUGCUAUGAGCUUGUCUGAGUGAAGAUCAAGGCAUUGUUGUAAGCAACGAAAAAUGCAAAUGUGGGAGGAUAUGCUACCUGUCUACCAUUUAUUAGUAUGUGGCAUUAAUUAACAACUCUGUCAACCCCCUCAGACACUGUAUAUGCUGGUUGUUAUGUAUUUUAUUGUAUAUUUUAUAAUGUAUUUACUUCAAAAACGUGUUUAAUGUCAAAGACGGCAGGACAUGGUAUUUUAAGCUUACACAAACAUGACAGCUCUAAAUCUGACAUCUACCUGAAAGACAAGAUUUAUUAUUCAUGGCCAGAUGUGACUGUCUAUGUUUCAUGUUUUUUUGUUUAGCCACUUACCUAUUACAACUUGCAACCUGUACAACAGAAGAAUCGCAAGCAACCAAUAUUGGCAAAUAGGAAGCUUUUACAACAAAUAUCAAUCAAGUCUCAUCUUUUAUUAUAAGUCUAUACAAUAUGUCAGGUUAGCCUAUUAUGUCGCACAAUAAUCCCCAUAAAAGAGGGAGAUAUUCUCAUAUCAUGUCGAAGCCUUUACUGGCCUGUUGGAAUGCUAAAAAUAACUAACUAAUGGUUGAGGAGAUGGAUGAACUUCAAACAUAUGUGUUCAAAGGCACCAGUUAGAUAACUUCAGUAUGUGUAUCCCAGAUAACCAUAGUUUGUCUAAACCUUUUCCCCCUUAAAAUCUAAAUCAAGAGUAUACCAGUCAUUAAUACAAAUUGAACUGCAAAGGGGAUAGUUACAAUAGACCCUGUUUGUCCAAAUAAGGGGAUACAUUCAACAUUGUGUUCUCUUCACCUGCAAAAGGAGAGUCUUUAAAGCCAGGAGGCGACCAUGGCAAGCAGCAUCAUGGAGGGGUGAGCGGUCCGCCCAGGAUCCUGCAGUGAGGAUAAAAAUUCUGUGCUUAUUUUAAAUUUACAUUUAUUAUUUUUAGGCAGAUGCUCUUAUAACACGCCGUUUACAAUAAUGGUAGCAGAACAAAUCUCACACCCUGAGGUACUAAUAGCACAGGAAGAUAUUAGUCAGACCUCUACAUGACACUGCACACACACAUAGUCUAUCUUCCCUGGAGUAAUAAUGAAGUACUUAUACAUACUGUAUGUUUAACUUUGAAGGUUGCAGGUUCCGUUGUAAAUUAGUCUUUAUGUUAUGAAUAUAUGGGAUAGAAAUUAAGCGUUACAUAUGCUAGUAAUCAUGCUAGUAUUUCAGUCUUUAUAUUUUACAUAUCUUGAUAUUUUGUCUUGUUUGUUCCUCAUACAAUUCGUUAUUUAUUUAAUCGCAGCAACAAAUCUAAAUUCAUCAAUUUUCCAUCAUCUUUCUAUGUUUAUCAACAUCCUGUUUCACCCUUCAUGUUCCAAGAGUUAAUGCAUGGGUCAGCAUAUUAUAAUGUGACUAAUGAUGCUUAUGAUGCCCUUAAUGCAGUAAACUCGGCACAUUAACACAUUGUCACAUGACACAUUAAUAUAAACCGGGCCAUUUGAUGUAAUUUUAGCAAGAAAAAAAAUAAAGAAGCACAAUGAACAAUGAAGCACACCUGAGUCGAUGUCCAGAAUGACAGCCGAUGCAUUCCACACGUUACUAUCAUCAUUCUGACCUUCAACAAUUUGGAUCAUAAUCCAUAGAUAAUAAUCAACCUAAUGUUUUCUAUUAAAUCCAAGCCCUUUUAUUUAUGCAGCCCGGUUUUUCCUUGACUGACAUUAAUUUGAAACAGGGGUAUGAAAGACCCAGCUCCAGACAUCAAACAGAUUUCUUAGAACAAGGAAGACCAUAUCUGCAGGACCGUGACUAAUACCCUAAGCUUAGCUAAUUAGUAUUCCAUGGAGUGGGUCCACUUUAAAUUAAACGUCCCCUUGAAUGAUAGAUACAGAUUAUGUUGUCGUCGUGUCCCUCUUCCCCAAGAAUGUGCCUUCGAACUGCCUGUCCCCGAGAAUGUGGAGUGUUGUUUUGG
Long non-coding RNA from Centropristis striata (black sea bass), 3207 nucleotides. RefSeq lists it as uncharacterized. The transcript has 5 exons. NCBI's taxonomy places the organism in Eukaryota, Metazoa, Chordata, Actinopteri, Perciformes, Serranidae. The record is from RefSeq and is a predicted model, not a curated record.